This 422-nucleotide ribosomal RNA is filed under the name uncultured bacterium. RNAcentral's name for it is "bacterial SSU rRNA". It matches the Rfam family "Bacterial small subunit ribosomal RNA", at positions 355 to 775 of the family's 1533-position model. The record is from RNAcentral.
UGAGGAAUAUUGGCCAAUGGGCGCAAGCCUGAACCAGCCAUCCCGCGUGAAGGAAGAAUGCGCUACGCGUUGUAAACUUCUUUUCCAGGGGGAGAAUUUUCCUGUCGAGACAGGGAUUGACGGUACCCUGGGAAUAAGCAUCGGCUAACUCCGUGCCAGCAGCCGCGGUAAUACGGAGGAUGCGAGCGUUAUCCGGAUUUAUUGGGUUUAAAGGGUGCGUAGGCGGAUUGAUAAGUCAGUGGUGAAAUUCUGCAGCUUAACUGUAGACUGGCCGUGGAUACGGUUGGUCUUAGGGUUGGUAAAGGAAGGCGGAAUUUGUAAUGUAGCGGUGAAAUGCUUAGAAAUACACAGAACACCGAUUGCGAAGGCAGCUUGCUGGGUCAUUACUGACGCUGAUGCACGAAAGCGUGGGGAUCAAACAG